RNAcentral lists this ribosomal RNA (253 nucleotides) under uncultured bacterium. RNAcentral describes it as "partial 16S ribosomal RNA". It matches the Rfam family "Bacterial small subunit ribosomal RNA", at positions 524 to 776 of the family's 1533-position model. The record is from RNAcentral.
UACGGGGGGUGCGAGCGUUGUUCGGAAUUAUUGGGCGUAAAGCGCGUGCAGGCGAUUUGUUAAGUCUGAUGUGAAAGCCCCGGGCCUAACCUGGGAAGUGCAUUGGAUACUGGCAGAUUUGAAUUCGGGAGAGGGCAGUGGAAUUCCUGGAGUAGGGGUGAAAUCCGUAGAUAUCAGGAAGAACACCGGUGGCGAAGGCGGCUGCCUGGACCGACAUUGACGCUGAGACGCGAAAGCGUGGGUAGCAAACAGG